UAUCAAUCCAGUUGAAGCUGUACUAUUAUUGCAUUAUCUUUGAUCAAAGUUAAAAAUUAAUUCAGUUUUUAUUCUUGUAGUUUAAUGGCACUCAGCAUUCGAGAGCUGUGUGAUGUUGAGUAUAAAUUAUUUUAUAAGAUGAAUAAUUUUAGUGUUUCAUUACGGGCUGCAUAAGAAAUUCCCGAAAGAUCGAUCACCAUCGAUCCAACGAUCAUCAAUCUGAUUGAUAUCCUAAAUGGCAGUUCGAUCAGUUAAUGGUGAUGACACUCAAGUUUUCAUCAAUGAUAAUCGUGAAACAAGUGAGAGAACGAGUGCUUGUUGUCAUAAAUUUAAAAUAGAACUCAGAUGAGCACAAAAAAUUAUUGAACUGCUACAAGAAGAGAUAAACACUACCAUUCGUACCCGCCAGAAGAGAUACUGUCCAACAUCAAGAUUGAGCCCGAUGACAGCAAACGGGACCUACAGAUAGCUCUCAAGAAAGCACGGAGACUGAAGCUGCAGGAGGCUGCUUACAGAAUCAAAAAACAGUGUAGAAAAGGUGGCAGAGUCAGUACUGGGGAGAAACUCAGAAGGGAACACGGAAGGUGGUUCCAUUGUGGUGAACGCUACAGCAGAAUUCUGCCGUACGUUGGGUGACAUCCCCAUUUAUGGUCUGGCUGGCAACAGGGUUGAGGAUGCUCAGGAACUGCUUGACUUUGAGAGGGAAAUGAUUGAAGAGAAGAAACAUCAGGAAGAAGAAGGCAAACGUGGAGCUUGGAAUGAAGUUGAGAUUGGGCAACCAUCUCAAAAACAAAACUGCAAAUUCUUCAUGAAAUAUGCUGGCACCAACUCUGAACUUUGGCGUGGACUUAUGUUUUUAUUGUUUCUUACUGCCUGGAAUAUCAUCUCUAUUUUUAAAUAAGACACAGCUUGCAGCUGCCGACAGUGCCUAUGUGUACUGGAAGGAAGGUCACAGAGUUCAUGUCACAUUCAAAUGAGUACAGUGGUUCUCCUGCUUCCUUAGGUAACCUGUUGGCACCUGUAAGCUAAGAAGUAAAAUUUCUAGUGAUUAGUUGCUUGCUUAUAGGACUUGAACCAGGUGAACCGCCUCUAAGCUAAAUCAGUCAUGAAGUAAUUAUAUUUGGCCUUUCGUGAUUGCAAUAGCAAUAUUGUACACCCCCCAUCAAUGCUGCAUUCAAGCCUGCAAGUUGGUCACUGAAAAGUGUGACAUGUAUCCUUCCAAGGGAAGAAAGAAACCCUUGUUCAGUUGUAGGCCAGUAUGAAAAGCUGUAAAAUUAUACAAGCAACAGAAUCAGAAGAUGUACAGUCUACUGCAAAUCAUUGUAAAGCACCACUGAUAUAUCACUGGAACAUUUGUAGUGGGUUAUAAAAGUAACUUGGUUCAUCCUGGUCUGUCGCACUAGUAACUGUAUGUAAGGGUUUUAACCACUGGCCAGUGUGAUUGAUAAAAGUUGUUUUUAAUUUUUCAUCCUUUACAUGUUUCAGUCAAAAUGACCAUCUUCAGAGAGAUAUUAUCAACACAUAUGGAAACUACUGCUACAUGUCAUACAUACAUAUGUUAUAUCUUUUAACUAAUUAAGAUGUACAUUGAUUUGUUAAAAACAUCUAAAAAUUAUUACAGUUAGUCUGUUUGCAAAAUAAUGUUCAGUAUUUGUUUUAAACUAGAACCAAUUUGGUUUCUUGUCCUUACACUUUUGUAAUAAUUUUAGAUGUUUUAACAAAUUAAUGUGCAUCUUAAAAUUAGUUAAAUGAUAUAACAUAUAUACCUAUGACAUGUAACAGUAGUUCCCAUAAGUGUUGAUAAUAUCCUUCUGAAGAUGGUCGUUUUGACCGAAACAUGUAAAGGAUGAAACAUUAAAAACAACUUUUAUCAGUUGUACUGGACAGUGGUUACAAAUCUUAUAUGAGUAUGCGGUUAUAGAAGUCCUGUGUUUAAUCCACAUGCAGAUGAUCAAGAGUCUUCUGUAAGUAUACAAAAACUCGAAAGACACAUAGACUCGGCCAAUAAUGUCAGGUCAUGAAACUGUGUAAGACGGAUCUUAAGGCAUCUUCUUGGAGGUGGCGAUAAUGAUUUGAACCCAAAAUGUUUAUAUAAGCCAAUGCUGAACAUUAUCUGAAGUCUGAAUUGUAAUCCUGAUGUGUUACUAAUCUUUGCUUAUGAAGGUACACAGACAGACUACACGUGUUCCCAAACUUACAUUUUUCUUGAUAUCAGGAAUGUAUAACUGUAAGUUGACAACCUCAGUCACAUAUAUUCCAGCCACCUAAUUAUUUGAGACAGUUUCAGUAUGUUUUAGUCUUUGUUAAUAGAAAUUAACUUGAAAUCACAUUAUUACAAAAGUUGUUACAUUUGUGUAUUUCUUAAUGAAACAGGGAUUAUAAUUUAAAACAUGUACACCUACUCCAUUAGGUGCAUGCAGAAUAUGUUGUUCAGUUAAUGUGGUUACUUGCAAGGUUGGAAUUAUGUGUGGAGUUGAUUUUAGUAUGUAACAUUCUCACUCAGAGCAGUCUGCAUAUUGUAAUUGAUGGUCAUUACUAUCUGUCCUUACCAUAGGUAAUUAAUUUUUCAGUAAAUGGUUUUCAAACAAAAGGUAUGACACACCUAUCAAAAGAAACUGAAGAUUUUGUUUCUUUAUUGGUCAGUAUCCUGUUGAGAAAGAUACAAUAAAAUAGUUUUACUUCGUGUAGUAUUUAAAUGUAUAUCAUCUUUAGGGAAAAUGAUAUAAAAAUGCUUAAAUUUCGUGAUAUAUUUGUAUGCACUCAAAGUUUCACUGUAAACUUGAGGUGGCUACGUGCAGUUGGAGCCCAGGCAGGGCCACUGAAGCAUCAGGCCGAUAGCUUUAGAUGGUUGCAAUGGUAGACUUGCCAUUUAUUAAUUUGUACAGAUUUCCUAACAGACUCACUACUGUGAUGAAGACUUGUUCAAACAAUGCUCUGAGAAUUGAUUUCAUUAUGUAAUGUAAUUCAUCUGCACUGAUCACAGUUCAGUUUAAUCAGUACAGCACAAUUACUGUA
This is a long non-coding RNA of Cryptotermes secundus, 3015 nucleotides long. RefSeq lists it as uncharacterized. NCBI's taxonomy places the organism in Eukaryota, Metazoa, Arthropoda, Insecta, Blattodea, Kalotermitidae. The record is from RefSeq and is a predicted model, not a curated record. The transcript has 5 exons.